GUCAGAUGUGAAAGACCCGGGGCUCAACCUCGGAAUAGCAUUUGAAACUAGGCAGACUAGAGUACUGUAGAGGGGGGUAGGAAUUUCAGGUGUAGCGGUGAAAAUGCGUAGAGAUCUGAAGGAAUACCGGUGGCGAAGGCGGCCCCCUCGGACAGAUACUGACACUCAGAUGCGAAAGCGUGGGGAGCAAACAGGAUUAGAUACCCUGGUAG
This 212-nucleotide ribosomal RNA is filed under the name uncultured bacterium. RNAcentral describes it as "partial 16S ribosomal RNA". It matches the Rfam family "Bacterial small subunit ribosomal RNA", at positions 587 to 793 of the family's 1533-position model. The record is from RNAcentral.